CAUGCUGGAGCUGAGAAGAGGCUCUAGAAGAAAAAUCUGGUGCAUGCUUAUUUGCCCUUCCAAACACAAGUAGUUCAUGCACAGAGAACAACUAAAUAAAGAUGAAGACUGCUUAGGGCACUGGACAGACUAUGAUGUAAUGGUCUUGCCAUGUCCUGGGAAGAGGGCUGAUGGGUCUAUCAUACAAAGAGCCCAAGCUGCAGUGGGCUGAUUGACUCCUGAGUUGCACACAGGAUAAGAAAGCCACUAGGCUCAGUAUCAGUACUUUUGUCAAUGUUGUUGUUAAUCACUGCACCCCCCACCCCAAACAACUACUUGCCAUUGAGUACCUCCCAUGUGCUGGAAAUGUUGUAAGCAUUUACUCCCAUUCUUAUUUUCACAAGUAUCCUGUGAGACUGGUAUUAAAAUUAGCUCCAUUUUAUAGAGAAGGAGGGUAAGACUCAAAGGGGUGAAGUUACACACCAAAGUUUCCUGACUGGUAAGCAAGUGGUGAAGUGAAUGAAAGCUGCUUCUGAUUCUCCAGGGGAAACUAACUCAGUCUUACUGCCAAGAACUUCUGUUUAUUGAGUAUCUACUAUCUGCUAGGAGCAUUACAUGCAUUUUUCCCCUUAAUCCUCACAAUAGUCCUGUGAAUAUGGAAUUAUUCUUAUCUUCAUCUUAUGGAUCAAGAAAACAAGAUUCCUGGAAGUUAAGCAACUCGAACAAGGCACAGCUAAUAAAAGUAAGCUGGGAUUUCAACCACUAAGUCAGUGGCUCUCAGAACCUUUAUACUCUUAAAACUUAUUGCGGAUAAAUCCACAGAGACAGAAACCAAAUUAGUGGUUGCCAGGGGCUUGGGG
RNAcentral lists this long non-coding RNA (839 nucleotides) under Marmota monax (woodchuck). Lineage: Eukaryota; Metazoa; Chordata; Mammalia; Rodentia; Sciuridae. The record is from RNAcentral.